Molecule: transfer RNA, 84 nt
Filed under: Clostridiales bacterium KA00134
Lineage: Bacteria; Bacillati; Bacillota; Clostridia; Eubacteriales
Rfam family: tRNA
About the family: Transfer RNA (tRNA) molecules are approximately 80 nucleotides in length. Their secondary structure includes four short double-helical elements and three loops (D, anti-codon, and T loops).
Source: Rfam by way of RNAcentral
GCAGAAGUGAUGGAAUUGGCAGACUUCUCGGUCUCAGAAGCCGAGGACCUUUGGGUCGUGAGGGUUCAAGUCCCUUCUUCUGCA